GUUGACAGAUGGAUGCCUUCUUAAUCACAGCCUGUGACACCCACAUGACUAGGAGGAGGCAGAAAGUGAAUAGGGAGCUCUUAUUACUUUUUGAGUGUCAGCAAGUUAAGACAUCAUCUCCAGAAAACUGUGCUAGUUGGCAUCCAGCAGUGCCCAAGUAUUAUUUAACCCACUAGAACCUGUGACUGCAUCAGCUUUAUAUCCUGGACCUCAGCCUGGAACAAAGGAGAGCUACACUUGGAUACUAAACACAAGUGGUCUGGAUAGAUUAUGCUGGGAAAAGAAGCCUGGAGCAGGCAGUACAGUGGGAGAACAAGACAGAAGUGCUUGCCUUGGUGAUCCAAAAAAGGCAGGAUCCGGCCGGGGGCAAGGUGAUUAUUCUGUCUGAUGAGGAGAAUAAGAGCCAGUUUGUGGUAUUGACAGAAGAAUGAAAGUAAAGUUCAACCAAUCUACAAAGGCCAAAAAUAUUUUCACAGGCCCCCAAAAGAUGAACUCCAAUCUGCUGCCCCUAAACGCAUUCUCCACUGUCUGGAAGAUGUGCAAAGGCAACGGCACAGCGUUCUCCAUCUCAAAUCCUUCAAAGUGCUGUCAGAAUAAAAGAAUCCCCACCAAAAGCCCCAGGGAAAUCUAUCUGUCUGUAUGGUAUGGUAAUGACUGAGGUUAUUCCAGAUAGGAUUCUGGGAGAAACUCAGCUAUUGAAAUCUAAUGAAUGGAACUGAGAAUUUCUUGUUAUAAUACUGUUUGUUUGAUUGAAUAUAUCCUUGCAUAUAGGAAGACAUAAAAAUAAAUAAUAAAAGCAAGAUAUUA
This 807-nucleotide long non-coding RNA is filed under the name Homo sapiens (human). RNAcentral's name for it is "long intergenic non-protein coding RNA 1013". The record is from RNAcentral. Lineage: Eukaryota; Metazoa; Chordata; Mammalia; Primates; Hominidae.